RNAcentral lists this ribosomal RNA (296 nucleotides) under Cyclophora tenuis. RNAcentral's name for it is "partial Bacterial large subunit ribosomal RNA". It matches the Rfam family "Bacterial large subunit ribosomal RNA", at positions 1176 to 1478 of the family's 2925-position model. The record is from RNAcentral. Lineage: Eukaryota; Bacillariophyta; Fragilariophyceae; Cyclophorales; Cyclophoraceae.
CGGGGCUAAGCAUGGUGCCGAAGCUUUGAAUUCCGCGUAAGCGGUCUGGUAGGGGAGCGUUCUUCACGGGCUGAAGUCGAAGCCGUAAGGCCCGAUGGACUGUGGAGAAGUGAUUAUGCUGACAUGAGUAACGAUAAAACGGGUGAAAAACCCGUUCGCCGUAAACCCAAGGUUUUCCGGGUAAAGGUAAUCUUCCCGGAGUUAGUCGGCCCCUAAGGCGAGGCUGAAAGGCGUAGCUGAUGGGAAGCGUGUUAAUAUUCACGCACUUGUGGAAAUGUGCGAUGGAGGGACGCAGG